UUGUUUUUAUUUGAGCUCCACUCUGCUUAGUACAGUGCCUGGCACCUGGAAACCCUAAAUGGAUCAUGAAGAAUUGCAUAGAAUUGAAAUGAAUGAGCAGCAAUGGCAAAUGAGGAAUGUUGAUUAGAUCUGGAAGAAAAAAUGAUCCUUCUCUUUGAAAAAGGCAUCCUUCUGUUGACCAAAGGGGCUGGCAGUGCUUAGAUUUUGGAAGAUCAGACAUUGAAGAACUGAGCAUAUCUAGAUCCUGGCAAAAAGGAACAAGACCCUCCAAUAUGCCUGGUCAGGACAUAGAGGUGACCCUGGGUUCUGGGAAGCUAAGGCUAUUGAACUACAGUGCUGAAAGUUCCUACAGAGUCAGAAAAACUUUAAGACUGAACAUGAUGAUGGAGUUUGUAUGCAUUAAGAAAAAGACAAGCAAUCUCCAUUAGACUGGUGACGCCAUCUUAUUUCCCUGGAAAAGAAGCAUGGAUAUAUUGGCUUUUGGAUAUCAGAAGGAGCAGCCCAACCCUGAUUGUGCCCAGUAGAAUGUGAGCUCCUUGAUGAAAGGUACUCUUUUUCAUUCUUCUUAGCUGUCUCCAGCACCUAGCAAUAUUUUGCAAAUUAUAACUGUUCAAUGAAAACUUGUCAUGUUUUUUUUGUGAGGGCAGGGGUCUGGAUUUGAUUUCAUUAGCAUGGGAAACUCUCUGUAGUGAGAAAAUGUCUCUUAUCAACUCAGAUCAGCAUAUAUUUUGCAACCUAGAGCCUUAGAGAGUUGCCAGAGGGCACUGUGACUUGAUGAUGAGAUUUUCCCACAAUUACCCAGCCAAUCUCUACUAAUGACAAGACUUGAAACCAGAUAUUUCUAACUCAAGGCCAGUUCUCUAUCAACAACCCCCAAGCUGUAUCUCUGUUGGAUUGAUUAUGCAAAUGAAAAUCAUUCUAUUUGGAAGAUAUUCCCCAACAUGUCAACAGUCCAUCAUAACUUUCCUUAAUAGGGGAAUUUAUCCAACUAUUUAGUAGUACAAUUUGUGGCUAGCCCAUAUUAUUGGAUGAAUCAAUGAGUCAAUUGACAAGACAACAAAUAAAUUACCAGAUGCAUACA
This 1081-nucleotide long non-coding RNA is filed under the name Monodelphis domestica (gray short-tailed opossum). RNAcentral describes it as "lncRNA (ENSMODG00000050200.1)". The record is from RNAcentral. Lineage: Eukaryota; Metazoa; Chordata; Mammalia; Didelphimorphia; Didelphidae.